AUGCAAACAUCAGAGUACAAAUUGCUGUGUGCUUGCCAGUCUGAUCAUGACACUUAUCCCUUUGCACAGUUGUUUGAUUCUCUUCCUCUGAAACACUGCAGUGUUGCCAAGACCUUAAGGGCAGCCCUAUUAGUAGUCAUAUUCACAUCCAAGAUCUCACUUAAUUCAAUCGAAAUUGAAGACACUGCAGGAGGUACGACACAUCCCUAUGUAACUGCUAGCUACAGCAUGGGGUUGAAGAAGUGAGUACUGAUGGAGCACGGCCCGAUGAAGAACCGAUUAAAUCUUCUGAACACUCUGAAGGGCUGGAAAGGAAGAACUGGAGAGAAUAGCAGCAGGAACUGGAGAAAGAUCUUCCUAGAGCAGAACUACUGACAAUGGAAUGGACACUUUCUCCUUCAUCAGGAGAUCUGCUCUGGAGCCAGCUUUUCAUGCAUGCCCCUUUGAUGUCCCAGAAGUAAAAUCAAAAAUUCAUACAGCUCUGCUCAAGCUGAGGGGCUGAAAGUUUCACAUAGGGAAGAUAAUGAAUAUUUGAUUCACUUUUUUCCACCUUCAACACUCAGCUGAUUAUAGAUUAUACUUAGAAGGCAAAAUUAACAUCUCUGCUCUCCAGCAGCUGCUUCUGUAACUAACAAGGAGGGGUAAGAGCUAUGUAACACAAAUUUACUGCUUCUCUGUAUAGACUUAAUUGAUGAGGAGGAUGUUAGAUCCCACCUUGAUGGACACUUUGAACUACAAAGAGAAAUUUUGUACAUGCCUGUGAAGUUGUCAGACUGAAUUAUGGUCAGUAACUGCUCCAGUAUCACUGAGUGUCCAGCUACAAACUAUCUUAUUUUAUUGGUUCCUUUAAACCAUCCAUUCCUUGCAGGUACUUUUAAUUAUCACCAAGAUAUGGUAACAUCCACCUGUUGCCUUUCUACCAUAUUCUAGAAGCUGCAGUGUUUCCCUUUCCUUCCCUUCCCUUCCCUUCCCCUUCCCCUUCCCCUUCCCUUCCUUCCUUCC
This 1002-nucleotide long non-coding RNA is filed under the name Coturnix japonica (Japanese quail). RNAcentral's name for it is "lncRNA (ENSCJPG00005009462.1)". The record is from RNAcentral. Lineage: Eukaryota; Metazoa; Chordata; Aves; Galliformes; Phasianidae.